GUGAAUCAUCGAAUUUUUGAACGCAAAUUGCACUCUCUUCGGAGAGUAUGCCUGUUUGAGGGUCAGUAUUAAUAAAAAUCGGUGUGUUCCUUCUUUCUGACGCUCCGGAGUUUGGGUCAUCUUAAUUUCCUUUAGGUUUUAAGAGGCUUAAAAUUGACUUUUUUUGCGCCUUUUAGAUGUACAUGAAUUAUUUUUUUAUUCGUCUGUCUUAUUGCUUAUAAUCCUAUUUGAUGAGCACAUCUCUU
Molecule: unclassified non-coding RNA, 245 nt
Filed under: Rhizophagus sp. (in: glomeromycetes)
Lineage: Eukaryota; Fungi; Glomeromycota; Glomeromycetes; Glomerales; Glomeraceae
Description: partial contains 5.8S ribosomal RNA and internal transcribed spacer 2
Rfam family: 5.8S ribosomal RNA (bases 1-65)
Source: RNAcentral